RNAcentral lists this ribosomal RNA (809 nucleotides) under Agromyces indicus. RNAcentral describes it as "bacterial SSU rRNA". It matches the Rfam family "Bacterial small subunit ribosomal RNA", at positions 222 to 1038 of the family's 1533-position model. The record is from RNAcentral. Lineage: Bacteria; Bacillati; Actinomycetota; Actinomycetes; Micrococcales; Microbacteriaceae.
GGGAUGGACUCGCGGCGUAUCAGCUUGUUGGUGAGGUAAUGGCUCACCAAGGCGUCGACGGGUAGCCGGCCUGAGAGGGUGACCGGCCACACUGAGACUGAGACACGGCCCAGACUCCUACGGGAGGCAGCAGUGGGGAAUAUUGCACAAUGGGCGCAAGCCUGAUGCAGCAACGCCGCGUGCGGGAUGACGGCCUUCGGGUUGUAAACCGCUUCUAGUAGGGAAGAAGGGCUUCGGCUUGACGGUACCUGCAGAAAAAGGACCGGCUAACUACGUGCCAGCAGCCGCGGUAAUACGUAGGGUCCGAGCGUUGUCCGGAAUUAUUGGGCGUAAAGAGCUCGUAGGCGGUUUGUCGCGUCUGCUGUGAAAACUAGAGGCUCAACCUCUAGCCUGCAGUGGGUACGGGCAGACUUGAGUGGUGUAGGGGAGACUGGAAUUCCUGGUGUAGCGGUGGAAUGCGCAGAUAUCAGGAGGAACACCGAUGGCGAAGGCAGGUCUCUGGGCACUUACUGACGCUGAGGAGCGAAAGCGUGGGGAGCGAACAGGAUUAGAUACCCUGGUAGUCCACGCCGUAAACGUUGGGCGCUAGAUGUGGGGACCUUUCCACGGUUUCCGUGUCGUAGCUAACGCAUUAAGCGCCCCGCCUGGGGAGUACGGCCGCAAGGCUAAAACUCAAAGGAAUUGACGGGGGCCCGCACAAGCGGCGGAGCAUGCGGAUUAAUUCGAUGCAACGCGAAGAACCUUACCAAGGCUUGACAUAUACGAGAACGGGCCAGAAAUGGUCAACUCUUUGGACACUCGUAUACAGG